GAUGAAAGAGUCUAUAAAUGCCUGGAAGAAAUAAAAUACAGGCAUGAGAGGAUUGGGAAUUCAAUAGGGGGUGUAGUCUUACAGCUUAUUCAUACUGCUGGCAAAUUGUAUCAACUGCUUUCAACUAGUUACAGGUUUGUGCCUGUAAAUAUUUUAUAUUUAUUUCAUUAUGAAAUUUUGCAGCAUUUUUAAAACUGUAAGUAUGCACCUUUCAGACAUCCACAUCAAAAUCAUAGAAGAGAGGCUGGUGGUGUUCUCUGGGCCAUACCAGUCAAUAGACAAGCUCAGAUACAGACUCCAGGAGCUGAAGGGAACUGUCAGAGCACAAGCCCUAGGCAUACUUUUGCUGCCUGUGCACGGUAAAUGGGAUUACACUUUUCCUGACAAGUACAUCACUUUGUGAUCGACACAGCUUGAGAUCUAUGAAAAUGUGGUGACUGAGGAGGAUUAUUGAAAGGUUUGAGCAGCUUUGAAUGGUGGAUGAUGAGAAAACAAAGCCAAGCAGCCCAACCAUACCCAUCCUGAUAGUGCAAGCACGGCACAAUGAGGCAGAGAAAAGGGACAUGCACAGGUCCCUUUUGUGUGAUGUCUGAGUGGCACUAGAGAGCUUCCAGCAGUGCAUCCAGCUGUCAGGCAUGGCUCCAUCCCUGGGAGAGAACAGCCUCAAUUCUGUCGCUUUCUUUCAUUAAAAAGCAAAUCUUGUAAGAUUUUUUUUUUUUGCAAGGACAGAGGGAAUCUUCCUGUGUAAAAUACCUUGAAAGACUAGUGCUCUACUUGGCUUUCUCUAACUUAUAAAGAGAAACAGUCCAGUAUGUUGUCAACAAUCUCUUAAAAAUCAUGUUUUAUAGGCAGUUCUCUUCUCGUUAAAGGGCUUUGAAACUGCAUGGUUCAUUCAGUUUGGUUUGAAGUCUAACAUGUUAGAUAUCAAAACUUCGUGGAAGCUGCUUAUGAGCACAGACAUAGCAGUGACAUUUUCCCUACCGUUCCUAUAGGCAGGCACCAUCUCCCUUAGCUUGAGAGAGAUUUGAGCAAUACUAUCCCCUCCCAUGCAUUCAAUUCAUUCUAGAAGAGCAGAAACAGAGAGGGGAGAAGGAAGCUGAUGAGCUCAGAAGUGAGGAAACAGCAGCAUGGAUUUAAGUCCCAGACAUGAAGUAGAAAACAAGUUUAAGAUACCUCUUCCAGAAAUAGAAAAUAGAAAUCCUUCUAGAAAGUUUCUUUUUCUGGAGAUACUAUGACUAAAGAAAAUUGUUUUCAAAUCAACAUAUUAAAUGAAAGAAAAAUGCAAGUGGUACAACAAUAUAGAAAAUACCAGACAAAAAAGAACCUUGAUGCUGAAAGUCUUGUGUAUGAAUGAAGAAAUGAAGAAAUAUGAAAAAAUACUCAGAGGUGUUGUUGGUUCUAAAUCUUGCCUAAGCUUCAAAAAUAAAAUUGUGAGGAAGAAGCAGCCUCUUACACAAGCAACAACAUGGGCAAGAGACACUGACAGGGAACGCUGCUCUAGGGCAGAGUCUUUCUUUAGUUAUCAGUAAUACACAUUUACAUUUUAAAAAAUGCCCAGAGUGUACUUUGUCAUCCUAAAGGUCAAGUAUUUCCACCCUGUUGGUUACUGGUACCUGUCAGGUCUUAGUCUUUGGCAAGUUCUCAACAUAGAAGUGGAAAGUUUCUUUUGUUAGCCUGUGGUCUCCAAUAAUUCAGUUUGAGUUUUUCUUUUUCUUUGGUAUUUCUUUUUUUUGCCUUGUCAAACUAAAGGACUUCACUUUGGGUCUUAACACUUGUUAAGCCUAAAAUGUAUUAAGCAAUCUAAGAUCUGCUGACAAGUCCUCAGAAGUCUCUGUUAGCACUGCUACAUCAUGUUAGCAUUUUCCUUGUAUAUUUUCCAGGAUCAGGAAAACAGUCUUUGUACAACCCCUCAUGUAGUAGAGUCACUGCCAAUGACUUGAGCUUGGAGGUAACAUAAGAGAGCUGCAAGAGAAAGUAGAUCCGAGUCUCCCUGUAUAUUCUUGCACAUGCAAACGCUGGUAUUAUCCUUCCCUUCUCUCCUGUUUGCUCUCCCACAUGCAGAUAGGACAGGUACAUUGGGAGCUGGCAAAGCCUCCAGAAGGGUAUGAAGAGGGUAGAGGCUGGGGUGUUGGUUAAUCACACUUAAGUCUCCUGUCCCCUCUUUACUGUGUAGACAAAACUCACUGCAAGCACGUGGAUUUUGAUACCAACAGGUGCUGGUGGAAUAAUCUGUGGUUUAUAUCUUAAAUUUUCAUGUGGUACACAAACAUCUUUUUAUAUAGAGCUGAUGACUGAAGAGCAUACUGUCAUUCCUGUCUAUUGACGGGUCUGAUAAGUACUUCAGGAGUAGCAGGUAAAGCUAAAGAUAUUAAAUAAAAGCAAAGGGAAGAACACUCUAUUGCCUUCGUACAAAUCAAGAAUAACUACAUUCUGAUCAAGCUGAAAUAAAGUGUCUCCCUUUAAAAUCCAGUUCAAGGGAGCCUUGAAAUCAUUAAACUAGAUUUGAGUCAACAUCUCCAGUCGUAAACAUUUAAGCUCUAAGGGACAGUUGUUAAAAGCGGGAAGAGGGCAGUGGCAGACAGAGGCUGGUGUCUGAGUUAGAAGGGAAAGUGAUCUGCCAAGAGACAGUAAUGCUGGCAGGAAGGGAGGUGCCUCCUCAGAAAAGGUAAUUAUGACCAGGAUUAAUGACCAGGAUUGCUAAAGGCAAUCCUGUCUGCAGAGCAGCACUUCAGUUAAAGGCCACCACUACAAGAAGGGGUAAUGACCCUGAUCAGGAUGUUGCCUUAUUCCAAAAGCUAUUCCAAAAGGCAGAAUGUUUAUUUCACUACAGCUGUUCCAGUUGUCCCUUGCAAAUAAGGCCAGCCAGGCCAUCUGGGUUCAGGGUCUGGCUUGAAAAAACAAUGAGUCUUACAGAAAAUCUGCUUAUGCUCCCAGGAGAGCGAGAGUGUUGGGGCAGUCAGGUGGGGUUAUAAUUGAAUUGUUUCAGUUUUUCAUGCUAAAAGAAAAUGAAAAAGCUAGUUAUUAAUUUUUGAUGGAUGGAAGGUGUUUGCACAACCAUAAUCAAAACAUUUAGUUUGUAGUGCUGUUGGUUUGUAGUGCUCUUAAGUUUAGGCAGCUGACAGAAAUGUAUUGUUUGUUAAGAAGAAUGAAAAAUGUUAAAAAAUAUAUUGUCUUUUUAAUAUAAAGUUUACAUUUUUCUUUUUGCUACAAGCAUAAUUUCUGCUUCUUACAUCUGCAUAUACAGUUAUACUAAAAUGAAAAAUGAGGAAAAAAUAAAUGUAAUUCAGCGGCUUAAGAAUGUAAUAAUACUUGUACAUUUUUAUUUACAUAUUAAAAUAUUGACAUUUCAAGCCCCUGAAGUGACCCACAAGUCACUUCAGAUAAUGAGAUAGUGAUUAUGUCCAAGUGCCAAAAUUGUUUGCAGGACAGUAUGGGUGUUUGUCAGCUUGCUCUGGCAAAUCAGGCCGUGUCAUCUUCCACUGGCAAAUAAUGAAGGUAAAAGUUAGAGCUGCCAUGGAGUGUUGUCCCAAGACACUGCACAAAUCACAGCAAGACCACCCAAUGUUAGAUCCUGUGCCUUUGGUUUAAUGACAGCAGCAACAGACAAGAUAUCAGGGAUGUGGUGUUCGACCGCAUCACGUCUGCCAUACAUGUUCAUCACAUUCACCUGGGUACUCCCCAAACAUUACUGGAUGUCUGAUUUUCAUUUAAAUAGGUUUGCUAAAGAGUUUGUCACAACUGUUAUCGGGGUUUGUUUCCUGGGAGGUAACAUGUCCUCUCUCCUGGGCUGCCUGUGUUUUGCAAACAUUUAGUCAGAAAGCUGGAAUCACUUCCAUAUUAAUUCUGGUAGGUUACCAGAAGAUAAAGAGAUAACCAGAGCAACCAAAAAGACUUUGGAAAACAGCUUGAAAAAGAUAAAGGAAUGAAAAGUAAAUAUUUUUUCAAGUAUAUCCAAUAGGCUAGCGGAGCGUUUAUAGGUGCAGUAGGUCCUACUGAAAGGAAUACAGAAGGAGCUCUCAAAGCAGAUGCAUUACUUUGGCAGAAAAACAGACUAAAUUUUUGGCAUCAGUGUGCAGAGUUCCACAAGUUUGUGAUGCACAAAUUACUGUCAGCUUGGAGACUCUUUUGGUCACACAUGACCACUUAUCAUCUCCUUUUCAGACUUUUCCAUUAUUCCUCCAGUUCAUAAUGGUCAGAGCUAGGAUACAAGUCUGAACGAGAUGUUUGAUACAGCCAUUCUCUGCUUUUCUGUGGUGCCUUUUUUUAAUUAUAAGAAUUUGCUGUGCCUGUACUGACAGUUCCAUUCAAAUCAAGGCCAGACUUGCUGGCAACUUGUGCAAACAUUUCUUCUCUUUCAGUCUUAUCAGCAGACCAGCUAAAACCUGAAACAGGACCUUCAGUGUCUGAGCCAGAGGAGCUGUUCUAUACCUGGGCUUCUGCCACAAGUAUCCCUUAUGCAGCUGGAAGGCUCCAGCUCAGGAGAGCACACAGGAUAAGCACUCUUCCCAAGGACAGCACUCAAGGCUUAAUGCUGCUGAAGUGGCUCCCAAAUGAAAUACCCUCUGAACACGAGCAGAAGGUGGACUUAUGCCCAAGCAAAUAAGAGCACCAGUUGUUAACGAUGAAACUUGGGGAAGAGUGGCACAGAGUAAGCCUCAACCACAAGCUUUUUCAGUCAAGAAAGGAAACUGCUUACCAUCCAAAUCCAGCUGCUAACAGGAACUAUAUUCCUCCUUCAGUGAGACCACUUGUGUCAGGAAUAACCUUUACAGACACCAUGAACAACCUGAAUAAAAGAACAUGAUCUCAAAGAAUUCAGAAACUGAACAACAGGAUGUUCUGAUGAAAAUACAAGCCUCUAGGAGUGGCUCUGACCCAAGCCUUUUGUGGUCAGUGGAUAAAGAAAACAGUGAUGGAAACUGUGUACAAAGAAGGGAGGUGUGAAGGUAGCAUAGAGCUGACAGCAGUUUUCUACCUGUAUCAGCACCUUUUAAAAUUCAGUGUCUGAAGAUUAUUACUAUGAAAUUAAAAUUAUCGGGGCAGGAAGUUUUUCAAAGAACUGUUGUAUUCAUGUAAAGUGACAGAAGACAUCUGUAUUACAGUCACUUAAGCAACUUUAAACCUUACCAACUUUUGUGAAUUGCAAUUUAUUCUACAACCUUCAUUCACAUGUUCAUCAAAAUAAUGCAAUACCUCCAGCUACUGAACCCUGAUUUGGCCCUUGACUCAGCUGCUGUACUUUUUCCAUAGUAAAACUAGUUUGCUGCCAGAAUUAUGUGGACAGAAAACAUUGCUGUGUUGAUUCCUGGUGGGAAAAGUGAUCCUGCAGAAAUAUACAAAUGCCACCUACUAAAAACGGAACCUUAAAAGAAAACCUCUCUGUAAAACCCACAGCCCCUGAGCGUGAUCACAGAACAUUUUAAAGGACCUUGAGUAUUACCCUCUCUAGGGUAAAAUAAUACAGUUUACUUAUAUUGAUCCUGGGAGAAAAUAUUUUAUAUCUUUAUUUUACACAAAAGACAUGUUAAAGUAAUAAUUAUGGUAUAACAUUUUUAGGCAAGUGUGAAUGGAUAAUUAAUCCCUGCAGUUCUCAGCUACUGGUUCUGUUCGUUCUGCUUUAGAAAUUAUAAACCUGAUGUAAUAUUGGAAAAAUUACUUUGCAAAAGUUUUUUCUGUUGCUGCUGAUAACAUUAUCUCUCACAUGCUUUGAUCAACAGAACACAGCUAAAGGAGCUUAGAAGUCCCUUCCAUACUAUCAGAAACAGGAAUAAAAUCACAAUUAAAGAUUAGUGGCCAGAGAACUUGAACCUGACAGAGGUGUCAGAUAUAAACUGUCUUUGUGCCAGUUUUUUUUGCAUAAUCCUGCCUGUAGCACUGACAUUUUGCUUUUGUGCGACAUUCAGAAAUGCAAUGUUUUAUUCUUCCAGUUGCAUUAAACCAUGACAAUGAGAGAUACAUAGAUUUACAUAGAUUUUUCAACUUGACCAGCAGUCAUUUAGCUGGAGAUGGCAUGGCUUUAAGGCAGAGCUUCCUGACUUAGCCGGCACUGUGAUCACAGAAGGAGAUAGCACUGCACCAUGUCAUUAUCAGCAGUGGCAGUAGCAGCUUCUGGCUGUGUGCACAGCUCCACGUGCACUGUAGGAGAUGAGAUCCUAGCCCUAGCAAGUCCUGUGCUGGCCUUUGUGCACAAGGGAGAAGGAAGAGGUAUUUGGUCAUUGUCUGUCUCCUCUGGGAUUGUUUUAAAAUGCUCCCAUUCCACCCACCUCAACCUGCAGGGUGCCUGUUUUAGGAUUGAAAUGACACACAGAAUUUUAAUGCUUGCCAUCCAUAAAUUUCCAAACAAUGGCCAGCAAAAGCACUAUUGCAUACUUAACAUCUGCUUUUUUGCACAUGAGGAAAAAGAGACAUACAGAAAAAUUAAGGCAAAUGUCCUCAAAAGCAGUAGUGCCUGUGUCCCACUGAAAUCAAUCUAAGCUUGGAGUCUUACAAGUUAUGGACAUCUGUGCUCAGGUGACCUAAACGGAAACUCACCAACUCAUUCUGAGCUCCAUCUCUCUUCAUGAAACCAGACCUGUCCCUCCAGCACACAGAGACUGUUGUUUAUGCAGACACAAUGUAUAGAAAUGUGUGACAGACUUUGAACUUUUUGCAUCUGAAAACUCCUUUGAUGUUCAGAAAUGUUUCCAGUUCAUAGAGGGAGCCACUAGGUUAAUUGCCAACGACAGAGUCUCAUAAGGUUUUGAAAAGCAGACUUUAUUUAACAGGCACAUCAUUGCUUUAAUAGCACUGGGCUGCACAGCUCACUUCACCAUUUGUAAAUGGUUUUGUUUGAUUACAUUGCAUUUCCUCAGUGUCGGUAGGAUUCAAGUAAAAAAGUUACUGCUAUUAUUCUCUGUCAUUUCUCAAGAUGGAAAAAAACAGUAAACGUCUAGCACACAGGAGCAGGGUACAGACAGAACUGCCUGUGACGCAGCAGAACUCAAGACAAACUGAAUUUUGAGCACUGAACAGUUAAAGCUGCAAGACAACCAUACUACAUUUGCUCAGAUGGGAGUUUGCUCUAUGCAGGAUAGAGAUGAAUGCUGCCCACUAAUACAUACAAUAAUGCAUUCUUAUACUGAGAAACAAAGACUGUCCAACAUAGACAAGAAUGAGGGUUUCAUAACAAAACAGUUCACAUGAAAUUAGCUUCCUUAUUAUUUCUGAUUAUAAAAGUUGUAUUCCCUCAGCUGUAAAAGUUAAAGGCCUAAAAGAAAAGAACUGCUUACAGAACUCUAAAACUGCACUUUAAUCAGCUUUUCCUCCUUAUAUUACAACUCUUUGAGACAAAAGCAUAGCAUUCUGGAUUAUUUUUGUAAUUAAGUAGUUUAUGUGGUUGUUAUAUUUCUUCCCUCAAAAUCUGCAUUUUAGUAUUUUAUUAAAUU
This is a long non-coding RNA of Motacilla alba alba, 7424 nucleotides long. RefSeq lists it as uncharacterized. NCBI's taxonomy places the organism in Eukaryota, Metazoa, Chordata, Aves, Passeriformes, Motacillidae. The transcript is spliced from 3 exons. The record is from RefSeq and is a predicted model, not a curated record.